CUAAACUGAGGAAAGUCGGCCGAAACUGAUCGACUCGAGGAACGUAGAGGGAAGCGGAACUCUCGGAGCAGCGGUGAAAUGCGUAGAGACCGAGAGGUACCCCGAUGGUGAAGACAGCUUCCUGGGCGUUUCCUGACGCUGAAGCACUAAGGCCAGGGGAGCGAAGGGGAUUAGAUACCCCCGUAGUCCUGGCUUCAAACGAUGUGGGCUUGGUGUCGGCCCCCGACAGAGGGUCGUUGCCGGAGCUAACGUGUUAAGCCCACCGCCUGGGGAUUACGUCCGCAAGGAUGAAACUCAAGGGAAUUGACGGGGGCCCACACAACCGGUGGAGCACGUGGUUUAAUUCGAUGAUAAGCGAAGAACCUUACCAGGGCUUGACCUAGCGGUAGUAGAAUCCUGAAAGGGAAACGACCUCAAGCUUUGCUUGAGGAGCC
Molecule: ribosomal RNA, 434 nt
Filed under: uncultured bacterium
Lineage: Bacteria
Description: bacterial SSU rRNA
Rfam family: Bacterial small subunit ribosomal RNA
Source: RNAcentral